UCCCAACGACACCAUGAAGCUUCACCACAAUGGACUAUGGCUUCGCGGUGACCUCAACCGUCUAGGAUGCUCAAACACCCAAGAGUAACAAGAUCCGCAAGGGAUUAGUAGGGGGAAUCAAAUAUCUCUCGGUGGAAGUGUAGAUCGGGGCCUUCUCAACCACUCCCGAGCAAAUCAACAAGUUUGGUUGGCCAGGGAGUGAGAUCGGGCGAAAAUGGAGCUUGGAGCAAUAAUGGAGCUUUAAUGGUGGAAGAGGUAAGUCAACGGGGAAGAAGGAGACCAUUUAUAUAGUGUGUGGAAAAGAUCCAACCGUUACCCACCUACCAGCCCGCGGCCAGCGGUACUACCGCGCAUGGCCAGCGGUACUACCGCAAGGCCGCGCGGUAGUACGGCUUGCAACCAAGCGGUACUACCGCACGGUAGUGCGGUACUAUAGUACCACCCUAUGGUACUGCCGCGACCCCCAGCCAGGGAAACAGACGCAAGCUGGGGCGGUACUUCCGCUCGCGCGGUACUACCGCGCCAUUAGGGCGGUACUACCAUGAGGCAAAAAGUCCCGAUAGGGGGAGGGGAACUUCCGUGCAUACUUCCGCAAAAGAACGGAAGUAGCAAAAACUCGACACAGUAGUACUGCCGAGGGGUGGUACUACUGCCUGACUGCCUAGUGCGGUACUACCGCAUGGCGAAAGCGGUACUACCGCGGCAGGUGCGGAUGUAAAAAAUUACAUCCGCUCCUACUACCGCAACCGGGCGGCACUAGCCGGGUGGGGCAGCGGUAGUAAGGCUCCGGGGGAGCGGUACUACCGUGAGCACCAGCGGUACUACCGUGCCACUGCGCGGUACUACCGUGGAUGCCCACGGUACUACCGUUAAUCCUGGAGCGGUACUACCGCAACCACACAAGCAGCCAGUCAACUAUGGCAGGAAAACGGAGGAAGCUCCAAGGAAGAAGGAGGGGAUAAAAGGAGACAUGUACGUGAUGAUUCCACCCAAACCUUUCCAACGCGGACCCCCUCUUAAUAGUACGGCUUUCCUACGACUCAAAUCCACUAAAAAGAAACGUAGAAAAGACGCCGUCUUCGUCAGUCUUCGAGGGGCACCCAAUCGUCUUGUGCCUAGCAGAGAAGAGUCUGGAAAGCUCAUGGCACACGAUUAGUCCGCAAAUGCAUUGUCAUCAAUCACCAAAACACUUAGGGAUAAAUAUGACCUUACAAUCUCCCCCUUUUUGGUGGAUUGAUGACAAUACGGGAUUUGCACAAAGAAAAUAAUAUUAAGUAAAUGCAAACCCCUCCUCUCUAUAAUAUAGACGGGCUCCCCCUGGAUGUGUGCUACCUAGAUGAGUGCUUUGAACUGCACGGCACACGAAUACUAGGAUCAAAGCUCCCCCUAUAUUAUAGAGACAAGGCAUAUCUAUCAUUAGACAAGAUAUACCAUACAUAAGUUAACUACGAUAGAUAAAGUGCAUAUGUCUUACACCAUAUGGAGGAGAGGUCUCGGAAGCACAAACCGAACUAAAGCAAACAAGGUCCAAACGACAAAGCAAACAAAGCAAACAAACACACUAAGCAAACAAACACACCAAACACAACGCAAAUCCCUACAAUCUCUCCCCCUUUGGCAUCGAGACGCCAAAAAGGCAGAGAGGACACCUACAGACACGGGGUGGCUCAGGCAGAGAAGUCGUCCCACUGCUCCUCGUCAGACUCAGCGGCAGGGAUAGUCUCCUCCAUGUCAUCCUCUAAACUGGUCCACUUGUAGCCCUGCUUAGACAUCCAGGCAGCCGCAGGAGUGAUGACGUCCUCAGACCCGCCAGACACAUCCUCUCCAUAGAGCCUCAUCACCUUCUUGUCACGACGGCGACUCUCCUUGUCAGACACGUGAGCCCUGUACUGUCCCUUCGCCUGCAUGCAGACGAGAGUCUUCAUCUUGUUCUUCAGCUUCUUGGCCCAUGAUGGCUCAGAGGAAGAAGUGGUGGACCUGACAGCACGGUCCUCAGCAGCACGGUCCUCAGCACGGUCCUCAGUAGCCUCCCCCUGACCAGCAGCCCUCCUAGCAGAAGAUGCCUCAGCACGAGUAGUGGUGUUGGCCCAGUUGGGCUUGACGCGGAGGAUGAUGGACUCAUGGCGAAUCCAGUCUGGGGCAAGGAACUCAUCACCUGGAUACGUCUUCUCCCAAGUGGAGGAGAGAAGCAGAAACAGGUACGGUCCAUAGAUAGGUACCUUGCGAGUGAACACCGCAAACUGAAGCUCACACCACAUGAUGUGAGAGACAUCAAGCGGCUGAGUCUGAGAAGAACGUGCCUCUGCACACAAGAGCAAUAUGUCCACUAGAUAUGCAUGAACCUUGUCCUUGUCGCCAAUGCGUGGGAACAGAGUGUUGCAGAAGAUGCGAUGCAUGAUAUCCAGAAAGGAGUUCAACACCCAAGAUGACUUCCCAUUGGGGAGUACCUUCUCAACAAGGAAGGGCCGAAGCUGGUUCUUGUUGGCAGACUCAGAGUUGGCAUGGGGGCGGACGCCAACGGGGGUGUGAAGCCCGUCAUCAGGAAUGUGCAGCAGAUCCAUGAACUCUUUCCAUGCAGCAGACAGCUGACGCCCAUUGGUCAUCCAAGUCAUCCUCCGCUCCACCCCGGGAUGAAAGUACACUGAGGCAAAGAACUGACAGAUAAGCUCAGGGUCAUAGUCAAGGUGAAAGGAGAUCACCGGCUCAAUAGCAAACUGCUCCACCAAGUCCAGAGCCUCUCCAAAAUAGUCACGAAACUUGUCUUUCCACAGGUGAUGCAUGUCUAUCCACUUAACAUCCACGUAGGUAUUCUGCUUGUUCUUGAUCACAUCCAGAUAGAUGAGAGCCUGUUGAUUGGUCCAUAACAACUCGGUGCCUCUGAGGAUAGCCCGAGGAUUCACAUAGGGAUUGAUCUUUCGGCGCUCGACAUACUCAGUGGUUGAAAUCUCGUCCAUGCCCUUAGUCGGUUCCUUGUGCUUGCUGGCAGUGGUCUUGACAUUGCGCUUGGGGGCAUUGGAGCCCUCUGGAGCUUCAUCUUGGGGGUUGCGCAGACGCUUGGAGCCAGUGUCACGACUGGGAUUGGAACGGCGAGAGCCACCACCUGAGACACAGAACGCAAAAACACCCACAACGGCCAAGAGAGAUUAAUGCAAAGACCACAACAAAGCAAGUGAAACAAGUAGAAGGCACACAUGAUACAUGCCUAGAGAGAGAUUUGAUCCCUACGGUAGUACUGCCAAGAGCUGCGGAGCUAAGAGAGUAGUACGGCUCUUAGACGCGGUAGUACCAUGCAAGAUCACGGUAGUACCGGGUGUAGGAGCGGUAGUACGACCUUAGCACCGCGGCCGGCGCGGUAGUACCGCGUCUGCGGAGCGGUAGUACUGCACCGUAUGGUAGUACCGCACCUGACGGGCGGUAGUACCGCAAGAGAGGUAGUACCGCACAUCAGGCACGGUAGUACCGCACCGCGUCAGAUCUGAACUGGUUCAAAUCUGAGAAAACCCGCGAAAACACGGCAGUACUAUGGUUGGACAAAACUACCACAAGACAGCAUAUCAAGUAUGUUUCCUACGCAUCACGACUCUCCUACAUCCUACUCUUGCAUGGAUUUGGCCUAAAAUCUCAAGAACAACAAGUUUCUCCCCAAAAGCCUAGAAGCAAGAAAACAGCCAAGAAAGAGAGGGAUUUGGGGAAAAACCUUGGUCCAUGGCAAGAGGAAGUGGUGGGGAACGAUCCCACCGGUCGGAAUCCGAGGAGAGUGGCCAGAGACGGUGAUCCAGCGAGGGCCUCCGGUGCCGUUCUUGAGAGGGAGAGACGUGGAGAGAGAGACAAUGAAUGGGUAUGGGGAGUUGGAACUCCCCUGCCCGAGUCAUAACCCCCACGCGCCCUUGACGGCGUGGUAGUACCAUGCCCAGACACGGUAGUACCGCGUGGUGCGGUAGUACCGUUCCUCCCAAGCGGUAGUACCGCGCCCAGACGUGGUAGUACCGUGGGCUCAAGAAUAUGCAUGUUUCGAGCCUGAAAAACUGGAUCUUUGCACAAAAUAACUUCGGGCCAACACAACACCACAAGACCAUGCAACACACAAAACCAGAAAGGCACACGACAAACGAACCAACCACGAGACACCACCUCUCCAAAAGAGAGGGCGGUGGCCGUAGCCACCUAUGUUUGAGUCAAUUGGUAUGGCACCGCGAAGAAUUAUCCUUGGGUCCAUGACCAAAACUCGUCUUUGAAGCACAAGUACCAUAAAAAAUGGCUAAUGUGAAAGACUUGAUUGAUUUAUGCAUAAUGGGGGGAGGGAGAGUUCAUUGAGAGAACAUCACUCCCCCUAUGUCCAUGCCUACAUCUAAAUAGGACAACACGUUGAGUAUGGUGGGGUGUGCAAGGGUUCAUGCAACAUUGCUCGAAUCGAUGAUAUUUAGCUCAUGCCUUAACUCGCGAAAUCUUGCUUCAUCCAAGGGCUUUGUGAAGAUAUCUGCAAGGUUAUCAUGAGUGUUGACGUAGUUGAGCUCGAUCUCUCCUCGCCUAAUGUGAUCCCGGAUGAAGUGAUACCAGAUCUCAAUAUGCUUCGUCUUGAAGUGUUGCACCGGGUUGAGAGAGAUCUUGAUGGCACUUUCAUUGUCACACCAAAGAGGCACUUUGUCACAAGUGACACCAUAAUCCUUUAAAGUUUGCCUCAUCCAUAAGAGUUGUGCACAACAACUACCGGCCGCAACAUACUCCGCUUCGGUGGACGAGAGAGACACACAACUUUGCUUUUUGGAAGACCAACUUACCAAAGAGCAACCAAGGAAUUGGCACCCUCCGGAAGUGGACUUCCUAUCCACUUUGUCUCCCGCCCAAUCGGAAUCCGAGUACCCUACAAGCUUGAAGUUUGAUCCUCUUGGGUACCAUAAGCCAAAGUUUGGGGUAUGAGCCAAAUAUCGAAAGAUUCGUUUGGCCGCCACAUAGUGACUUUCCUUAGGUGCGGCUUGAAACCGUGCACAAAUUCCCACACUCAACAUGAUGUCCGGUCUAGAUGCACAAAGGUAAAUCAAGGAUCCAAUCAUGGAACGAUGUACCUUUUGAUCCACCACUUUACCAUUGGGAUCUAAGUCAAGUUGGCACUUGGUGGGCAUUGGAGUGGAAGCCGGCUUGACGUCACUUAGCUUGAAUCUCUUGAGCAUGUCUUGAGUGUAUUUGGAUUGAUUGAUGAAGGUUCCUUCUCUUCUUUGCUUCACUUCGAACCCUAGAAAGAACUUCAACUCUCCCAUGGAGGACAUCUCGAACUUUGAGGUCAUGAGAGCGGCAAAUUCCUCAUUGAAAGCUUUGUUAGGAGAACCAAAGAUAAUAUCAUCAACAUAUAAUUGGCACACAAACAACUCCCCUUUGACCUUCUUAGUAAAAAGAGUGGGGUCGAUUAUCCCAACUUCAAAGCCACGGUCUUGUAACAACUCCGUAAGGUGGUCAUACCACGCACGCGGGGCUUGUUUAAGGCCAUAGAGUGCCUUAUCGAGUUGAUACACAUGAUCGGGAAAGUAGGGAUCCUCGAACCCGGGGGGUUGCUUGACGUACACCAAUUCAUUAAUGGGACCAUUAAGAAAAGCACUCUUCACAUCCAUUUGAUGUAACUUAAAGUUAUGAUGAGAAGCAUAUGCAAUCAACAUGCGAAUGGAUUCAAGACAAGCAACGGGAGCAAAGGUUUCACCGUAGUCGAUACCCUCGACUUGGGAGUAGCCUUGUGCUACCAAACGAGCCUUGUUGCGAAUGAUAAUCCCAUGGGCAUCUUGCUUGUUCUUGAAUAUCCACUUGGUUCCAAUGACAUUGUGGUUCCCCGUUGGCCUUGGUACCAAUCUCCACACUUUGUUGCGCUCGAAGUUGUUGAGUUCUUCGUGCAUGGCAUUGAGACAAUCCGGAUCUUCUAGCACCUCAUAGACCUUGGCAGCACGACGCUCUAAUUCCUCCUCGGUGGUGAGUUGAGGAGCGGUUACUUGAUCAUCUUGAGCGCCGUCAUGAACUUGUUCUGGGGAGAGAACUUGACCUUGAGCAUCACUUGGUGUGUCCACACCGUCUUGAGUAUGAUCUAGCCCUUGGUCUUGUUCAUGAGGUUGAGGGCCUUCACUUUGUUCUUCGGAAGCAUGUGGGCCUUGGGUUGGUGAUGGCUCCACUUGAGUGGAGCAUUGUCCUUCUCCUUCGGACACAAGGGGUUCCUCAAUGGGUAGGAUGAAACCAACACCCAUUCUUCUUAUGGCUUGAGGAGGAAUUUCAUCACCUACAUCACAAGUGCCACUUUGCUCCACUUGGGAACCGUUAUUCUCAUCAAACUCCAUGUUACACGUCUCCUCAAUAAGUCCCGUGGAUUUAUUGAGGACACGGUAAGCAUGAGAGUUUGUAGCAUAACCAACAAAUAUGCCCUCAUAAGCUCUAGCCUCGAAUUUAGACAACCGAACACCUUUCUUGAGAAUGAAACACUUACACCCGAAUACCCGGAAGUACUUGAGGUUGGGCUUGUUACCGGUGAGUAUCUCAUAUGGAGUCUUGUUCAAGCCCUUGCGGAGGUAGAGCCGAUUGGAUGCAUGACACGCGGUGUUGAUGGCUUCGGCCCAAAAGUUGUACGGAGACUUGAACUCCGCCAUCAUGGUCCUUGCCACAUCCAUCAACGUCCGGUUCUUCCUCUCCGCAACACCGUUUUGUUGAGGGGUGUAUGGUGCGGAAUAUUGAUGCUUGAUUCCCUCAUCACUAAGAAAUUCAUCCAAGGUGUAGUUCUUGAACUCAGUGCCGUUGUCACUUCUCAUUGUCAAGAUCUUUGCAUUGUGUUGACGUUGUGCUUCAUUUGCAAAGUCAAUGACGGUUUGUUGGGUCUCGCUCUUCCUGUUGAAGAAAUACACCCACGUGUACCUUGAGUAGUCAUCCACAAUCACCAAACAAUACUUCCGACCUCCAAGACUAUCGAAGGAUGGAGGCCCAAAGAGAUCCAUGUGAAGGAGCUCCAAAGGCCUCUUUGAAUAAAUGAUAGUCGAGGGACGGUGAGCCUUCUCAUGUAGCUUUCCUUCGAUACAGGCACUGCAAGCACGAUCUUUAGCAAAACUAACAUUCGUUAGUCCACGGACAUGGUCCCCCUUUAGGAGACUUUGCAAAGAUCUCAUAUUGACAUGGGCUAAACGGCGAUGCCAAAGCCAUCCCACAUCAACUUUAGCCAUUAGGCAUGUCGCGGUCUUAGUGGGUCGCUCCGAAAAGUUAAUCACAUAUAGACCAUUCUCGACAUGCCCAACAAAGGCUACUUUAAGAGUAUUGCUCCACAAGAGGGCCACGGUAUCGAUAUCAAAGAAAGUGGCAAAGCCCAUGAUUGCAAGUUGACGAACAGAAAGUAAAUUGUAUGCAAGGGACUCAACAAGCAUGACCUUCUCGAUCGUGAGAUCAUGAGAGAUGACAACCUUGCCAAGUCCCAAUACCUUAGAAGAUGAGGCGUCACCCCACUCGACAUUGGUGGGCAUAGAUGGAACCUUGUGCACGUCCACCACCAAGUCCUUGCUUCCGGUCAUAUGAUUUGUAGCUCCACUAUCGAGCAACCAUGAUCCACCACCGGAAGCAAACACCUUGUUGGUGGCUUUAGCCAUGAGGCACUUGGCGGUGAUGCUUUCGUUGGGUGAGUCGAAGAGGGACACUCGUGACGUUGUUGCAAUGGCGACGGAGGCCAUGGCAACCGACUCAUCAUCUUCAUCAUCGUCAUCAUCCUCAUUGUACUCUUCUUGCAUAACCAAGGCCUUGGGAGGAGUCUUCUUGGUGAAGUUGUUCUUGUUGGGGAACGACUUGGCCUUGUCCUUUCGGAUGAGUUUGCCACCAUUGUCUUCCAUCUUCUCAUAUGGGCAUUCCGCAACGAAAUGACUUACGUUGCCGCAAUUGUAGCAAGUCCUUACACGUUGCUUGCCCCUUGUGCCACUCGAGUUGUUUUUGCUAAAGUUGGGCCUCGAGUUUUUCUUGCUUCAAAAUUGCCUUGAAGCAAGUGCCAUAUGUUCAUCAUAUGCAUACUUCGUAUCUUCGGGGCUGCUCUCCUCUUCUUCCUCUUCUUCUUCUUCCACGGUGAGCUUGGCCUUCAAUGCAAGGUUAGGCUUCUUUGCCCGUUGAGAACGGAGCACCGCAUUGUCGGCGGUCUUGUCCAAAAUGUUCAUGGCCACAAACUCAUCCAACACUUCGCUUGAGGUCAAAGUGUGGAAGUCCGGUCUUUGACGAAUGACAGAGGACAUGGCCUUGUGGUAGGGCAUCAUCGCCUUGAGGAAUUUGCGCUUGAUACAAUUGUCAUCCGUGUCCUUGCUCCCGUGAUCUCGUAGUGAGACCGCGAGUUUGGUGACUCUCCGAUAGAGCUCACGAGGUUCUUCAUCUUCCUUCAUUGCAAACUCAUCGGCCUCAUCUUGUACCACUUCAUAGUUGAACCGUUGAAUGCUUGCGCUUCCCCGGUAGAGAGACAUGACACAAUUCCAUGCAUCUUUGGCCAAGGCGAAGGGACGAAGAUGAGGUAGGUCUUCGGGUGGAAAUGCAUCUUGAAUGAUGAAGAGAGCAUUCUCAUUGAAUUGAUUGUCCGCGGCUUCUCGAGGAGUGAAGUUGCUUGGAUCAUGUGGAUAGAAACCUUCUUCAAUGAUUCUCCAAAGGUUAGUGUUCACAUGAUUUAAAUGACAUUUAAAGCGGUAAACCCAUGAAUCAAAAUCCUCAUUUUUCACAAUCUUAGGGGGAGGACCGGCAUGAUUCAAAUGAGUGGAAGGAACCGGUCCACCAUAAACAAGUGGUGGUUCCACAUGGGCAAAGAUGCCAGUGCCAUUCUUGCCACUAGAAGAAGGAGCCUUUUCACUACUAGCUUCCCCCUUUUCAGGGAUAGCAUCCGACACCUUGUUGGCAGGAUCCCCCACUUUCAACAGUGCGGUUGAUAGUUUAAGCCCCUCAAGAAAUUUAGUAAACAUGCUUUCAACUUCGGUCGUCAUGGAGGUUUUCAAUGUCUCCAAGGCUACAUUGAACUCCUCACGAGAGACCGAAGUUCCCCCAUCGCCCGUAGACGAGACAGGAUUCACACUGGAGUGUUCCUCCGCUUCUUCUACGGUAUCAACCAUACUCUUCGGACGGUAAAGUCCUUAAUAAAGAGACGAGACUCUGAUACCAAUUGAAAGGAUCGAUAUGGUUGACUAGAGGGGGGUGAAUAGGCAACUAACAAUUUUUAGCUUUUUUAGCAAAUUAAACUUUGCAUCAAAAUAGGUUGUCUAGACAUGCAACUAAAUGAGCAACCUAUAUGAUGCAACACGAAUAGGAACACAAGCAAGCAAGAUAUAUGAAACAAAUAAGCUAUACUAGUAAAGGCAUGAGAUAACCAAAAGUGGAGACGGUGGAGACGAGGAUGUGUUGCCAAAGUUCCUUCCCCUUGAGAGGAAGUAUGUCUCCGUUGGAGCGGCGUGGAGGCACAAUGCUCCCCAAGAAGCCACUAGGGCCACCGUAAUCUCCUCACGCCCUCACACAAUGCGAGAUGCCGUGAUUCCACUAUUGGUGCCCUUGGAGGCGGCGACCGAACCUUUACAAACGAGGUUGGGGCAAUCUCCACAACUCAAUUGGAGGCUCCCAACGACACCAUGAAGCUUCACCACAAUGGACUAUGGCUUCGCGGUGACCUCAACCGUCUAGGAUGCUCAAACACCCAAGAGUAACAAGAUCUGCAAGGGAUUAGUAGGGGGAAUCCAAUAUCUCUCAGUGGAAGUGUCGAUCGGGGCCUUCUCAACCACUCCCGAGCAAAUCAACAAGUUUGGUUGGCUAGGGAGUGAGAUCGGGCGAAAAUGGAGCUUGGAGCAAUAAUGGAGCUUUAAUGGUGGAAGAGGUGAGUCAACGGGGAAGAAGGAGACCCUUUAUAUAGUGUGUGGAAAAGAUCCA
Molecule: long non-coding RNA, 9885 nt
Filed under: Triticum aestivum (bread wheat)
Lineage: Eukaryota; Viridiplantae; Streptophyta; Magnoliopsida; Poales; Poaceae
Description: long non-coding RNA (TAES_LNC014814)
Source: RNAcentral